UCGACCUCAGAUCAGACG
This 18-nucleotide ribosomal RNA is filed under the name Conothele sp. MYG002. Its description in RNAcentral is "partial 28S ribosomal RNA". The record is from RNAcentral. Lineage: Eukaryota; Metazoa; Arthropoda; Arachnida; Araneae; Ctenizidae. RNAcentral also lists the same sequence under 1 other name.